AUGGGGCCCCGACCGCCAAGUUCGCCGGCUUACGCAGUGAUGCGGAAAAGAGCAAGCAGCGGCUUAACGGCCUAUCUGAUUGCGAGGCAGGAGAUACAGAGGAAGGUGGACGAGUUGGCCGAGAAGGAGCUUGGGCCCGAUGGCAAGGAGAGGUUCCUUGCCACUCUACUCUCCCAAGACAAGAUGAGGUCCAUGGAGGAGAUGAUCGCCGAUUCGGCGCGCAACAUCUUCCAAGAAUUUUUUCAUAUGUUACACCAAUCGCCGAUGGAAGAGGAAGAGGAAGAGGAAGAGGAAGAGGAAGAGGAGGAUGAGCUGGAGCUGGAGGAGGAGGAUGAGGAGGAAGAUGAGGAGGUAGAGGAAGAAGAAGAAGAAGAGGAGGAGGAGGAAGAGGAGGACGACGAGGAAUUACGCAUGACUGUUCAGGUAUCCUUCUUGUGCGACCAGAUCAGCGACCUGGUACUAGAACUUCUGAAGAUGGUUCCAGACGAAGAGCCGGAAAAUCAAAUGCUGUCCUUGGUCAAAAGGCUAAAUAGAUUGCAGUGGAUCACAGACAGCAUCAACAAUUUCGUCUCAGAAAUUGCGGUGAGGGUGUCGAGGGAACAAAUGAUAGAGAGAGCACGCAAAGAGAAAGAGGAACAGAAGAGAUUCCUCCAACAGGGCCAGGAGGUGAGGAGCUCGGACAAGAAACAGGAGCAGGAGAGGACCUUGGAGGAGAGGGAAAUCAACGGACAAGCGGUGGUCGCCGGAGGCAGAUUAGUCACUAUGGCAACGGACAGAGGCUUGGAGGCCAAAGAUAUCGAGGCUGAAGCGGUGAUCAGCGAGGCUGGGGAGUAUGAGGAGGAGGCUUUUGCUCGCUUCCGUAGGGACUGGGAGUGUCGCCAAGGUGCCAACAGCUUCGAAGACCUGACUUUGUUGAGUCCCAUGCUCUUUACACACUGUACACCGGGAUUCGAGCCAGUAGACGCUGUCCUCCCAAGGACUAUGCAGAUCUGUUCUAUCAAAGUUACUGACUUGAAAUACUUCAAAUUGCCACUGAAAGUAUAUGGUGUGGUUGCCGCCCGAGAUGCUGUGGAUGGGCGUCGCAAUCCCAUCUUCCUUUGUCCAAGGGAUGACUGCCAAGUCCUCAAUGAAGCGGAUCCUUUUUUGCAUUUGACCGGCCCAAUUCGUGCAAUUGUGUCUGAGGAACCCGUUGACAUUGAAAUCCAGUUAAUAAUAAAGGGCAAAACGGCGUCUGAAGACAGAGCAUUGGUGAGGGAUGCCUUUUUAUGUGAUGGUGAUGUUGGCCAUUCUCGUGACGGUUUCCGAACUAGCAUCAUUGAAAAAACCUUUUGCACACUAGAGUUAUGUUCUCAGCAACUUAAACGUUCGGUUCAAGCCACUAUCUUUGGUGUUCAUGUUGUUGAUGAGAAGUUAACGCCUUUUCAAUAUGGAGUCCGAGUUGUUUGCUACACAUUUUCUGAGUGUGAGAUUGAAGAAGUCAAUGUGUCCAAGUCAAGGAAAAUUGUAUUGCUUGAUUCAAAAGCUGGAAGAAAGUGUGCAGUUAAAGGUGGUUAUCUGAAUCUGUCAAGGCAAGUUCUAUCCGUAGAAUUCCGUGGAAAGCUAAAAGUUCUUAUUCAAGCAUACACACCGACUGGAGACAUCGCUGCACAAGGACUUGUAUUUGUCGUACCCAAAACAUACAACACAAGUCAACAUGUAUGUGAGCUUGGCGGCUUCAAGGUGGAGUUUACCAUUGCUUGGUCCCUCCUUGUUGAAGAUGAAGAGCAUAUCUUGAUGAAUGGAUGUGUGGAUCCUUUUGCACCGUGUCCACCUAUGAAACCCUCUUUUUUCAACUAG
Molecule: ribosomal RNA, 1836 nt
Filed under: Triticum aestivum (bread wheat)
Lineage: Eukaryota; Viridiplantae; Streptophyta; Magnoliopsida; Poales; Poaceae
Description: partial small subunit ribosomal RNA
Source: RNAcentral